Molecule: non-coding RNA, 65 nt
Organism: Dallia pectoralis (Alaska blackfish)
Lineage: Eukaryota; Metazoa; Chordata; Actinopteri; Esociformes; Umbridae
Source: the annotation of a GenBank genome assembly
GCCGUGAUCGUAUAGUGGUUAGUACUCUGCCCGCAGCAACCCCGGUUCGAAUCCGGGUCACCAUG